Molecule: unclassified non-coding RNA, 343 nt
Filed under: fungal sp.
Lineage: Eukaryota; Fungi
Description: partial internal transcribed spacer region
Rfam family: Eukaryotic small subunit ribosomal RNA (bases 1-46)
Source: RNAcentral
AAGUCGUAACAAGGUAACCGUAGGUGAACCUGCGGUUGGAUCAUUAAUGAAGGCUUUUAUGCCAAACCAGCUUUUUUAAGCUGACCCACCUUGUGUGAACCGUUAAAAUGUUUUAGGCGGAGAGGGUUUUUUAAGUUGGGGUUUGAAUACUUCUUCUUCUUUAAUCCAAAGUCUUUAAUUAGAUAACAUCUCCGCCUACUGCUAUUUUCUUGAAAAAGAAGAUGGCAAAACAAAAACAAACCUUUUAUUGUCUUUCAAAUUAUAAAUCUAAACAAAUUUUUUACAUUCUAAAAUAAAAUUUCGAAUGAAAAAACAACUUUUGACAACGGAUCUCUUGGCUCUC